Cavia aperea (Brazilian guinea pig) is the source of this 58-nucleotide microRNA precursor. The record is from Ensembl. NCBI's taxonomy places the organism in Eukaryota, Metazoa, Chordata, Mammalia, Rodentia, Caviidae.
CCGAGGCAGCCUGGCUUAGGGGAAAGGGAACAGCUUUAGAGCCAGACCGCCUGGGUUU